GUUGUCAACAGGUUUGGAACAACUUGUUGACAACUUGUAACAACCUUGUCGAAAUUAUCAGACUUGUUGUAAGGUUGUUCUGACAAGUCCGUUACAUGCUUGAUAUAGCAAGAUUGUUACAACCUUGUGUUGACAAUCUUGUAACAUCCUUGUUAUAUCAUGGCUGUAACAAACUUGUUAGCACAUUCUUGUGACAAGGCUGAUGAUGCCAUCAAGCUUGUUACAAGUUGUUAACAGCUUGUUUCAAACUUGUUAUAAC
This 259-nucleotide microRNA precursor is filed under the name Paramuricea clavata. Lineage: Eukaryota; Metazoa; Cnidaria; Anthozoa; Malacalcyonacea; Plexauridae. The record is from RNAcentral.